This is a non-coding RNA of Caenorhabditis elegans, 21 nucleotides long. Lineage: Eukaryota; Metazoa; Nematoda; Chromadorea; Rhabditida; Rhabditidae. The record is from Ensembl.
UUCAUUGUCGAUUAUCAUUGC